GCCACGGUGAUCUAGCGGUUAGAACGCUGGCCUUGUAAUCCUGGGGUCUCGGGUUCGAUUCCCGGCGGUGCCC
Non-coding RNA from Zootermopsis nevadensis, 73 nucleotides. Lineage: Eukaryota; Metazoa; Arthropoda; Insecta; Blattodea; Termopsidae. The record is from Rfam.